UGGGGAAUUUUGGACAAUGGGGGAAACCCUGAUCCAGCCAUCCCGCGUGUGCGAUGAAGGCCUUCGGGUUGUAAAGCACUUUUGGCAGGAAAGAAACGUCGCGGGUUAAUACCCCGCGAAACUGACGGUACCUGCAGAAUAAGCACCGGCUAACUACGUGCCAGCAGCCGCGGUAAUACGUAGGGUGCAAGCGUUAAUCGGAAUUACUGGGCGUAAAGCGUGCGCAGGCGGUUCGGAAAGAAAGAUGUGAAAUCCCAGAGCUUAACUUUGGAAACUGCAUUUUUAAACUACCGGGCUAGAGUGUGUCAGAGGGAGGUGGAAUUCCGCGUGUAGCAGUGAAAUGCGUAGAUAUGCGGAGGAACACCGAUGGCGAAGGCAGCCUCCUGGGAUAACACUGACGCUCAUGCACGAAAGCGUGGGGAGCAAAACAGGAUUAGAUACCCUGGUAGUCCACGCCCUAAAACGAUGUCAACUAGCUGUUGGGGCCUUCGGGCCUUGGUAGCGCAGCUAACGCGUGAAGUUGACCGCCUGGGGAGUACGGUCGCAAGAUU
This 551-nucleotide ribosomal RNA is filed under the name uncultured bacterium. RNAcentral describes it as "partial 16S ribosomal RNA". It matches the Rfam family "Bacterial small subunit ribosomal RNA", at positions 355 to 895 of the family's 1533-position model. The record is from RNAcentral.